RNAcentral lists this ribosomal RNA (439 nucleotides) under uncultured bacterium. Its description in RNAcentral is "partial 16S ribosomal RNA". It matches the Rfam family "Bacterial small subunit ribosomal RNA", at positions 338 to 795 of the family's 1533-position model. The record is from RNAcentral.
CCUACGGGAGGCAGCAGUGGGGGAUAUUGCACAAUGGAGGAAACUCUGAUGCAGCGACGCCGCGUGAGGGAAGACGGUCUUCGGAUUGUAAACCUCUGUCUUUGGGGAAGAAAAUGACGGUACCCAAAGAGGAAGCUCCGGCUAACUACGUGCCAGCAGCCGCGGUAAUACGUAGGGAGCGAGCGUUGUCCGGAAUUACUGGGUGUAAAGGGAGCGUAGGCGGGCGAGAAAGUUGAAUGUUAAAUCUACCGGCUUAACUGGUAGCUGCGUUCAAAACUUCUUGUCUUGAGUGAAGUAGAGGCAGGCGGAAUUCCUAGUGUAGCGGUGAAAUGCGUAGAUAUUAGGAGGAACUCCGAUUGCGAAGGCAGCAUACCGGCGCCCGACUGACGCUGAGGCACGAAAGCGUGGGUAUCGAACAGGAUUAGAUACCCUGGUAGUC